RNAcentral lists this transfer RNA (65 nucleotides) under Machla setosa. RNAcentral's name for it is "tRNA-Asp". Lineage: Eukaryota; Metazoa; Arthropoda; Insecta; Coleoptera; Tenebrionidae. The record is from RNAcentral.
AAGAAUUUAGUUAAUUAAUAACAUCAAUUUGUCAAAUUGAAAUAAAUAAUCACUAUUAGUUCUUA